This 91-nucleotide transfer RNA is filed under the name Gluconobacter oxydans. RNAcentral describes it as "tRNA-Leu". Lineage: Bacteria; Pseudomonadati; Pseudomonadota; Alphaproteobacteria; Acetobacterales; Acetobacteraceae. The record is from RNAcentral.
GGGCGAGCUGGGCGUCGGAGAAGCCCUGGGCCUUGAGGCGGCGCAGGUUGUAGGCGUCCUUCGGCAGGCCGUUCUUUUCGAUCUCGCGCUC